RNAcentral lists this ribosomal RNA (254 nucleotides) under uncultured bacterium. RNAcentral describes it as "partial 16S ribosomal RNA". It matches the Rfam family "Bacterial small subunit ribosomal RNA", at positions 524 to 777 of the family's 1533-position model. The record is from RNAcentral.
UACGUAGGGGGCAAGCGUUGUCCGGAUUUAUUGGGCGUAAAGAGCGUGUAGGCGGCCAUGCAGGUCCGUUGUGAAAACUCGAGGCUCAACCUCGAGACGCCGAUGGAAACCGCAUGGCUAGAGUCCGGAAGAGGAGAGUGGAAUUCCUGGUGUAGCGGUGAAAUGCGCAGAUAUCAGGAAGAACACCCGUGGCUAAGGCGGCUCUCUAGUAGCGGUACUGACGCUGAGCACGAAAGCAUGGGAGCAAAGCAGGA